This is a non-coding RNA of Nomia melanderi (Alkali bee), 2621 nucleotides long. NCBI's taxonomy places the organism in Eukaryota, Metazoa, Arthropoda, Insecta, Hymenoptera, Halictidae. The record is from RefSeq and is a predicted model, not a curated record.
CGGCGGGUCAACGCGUUGAAUGCCACGGUGGUCACCGGUGACCUCCAACCAAAUUGAGUUGUUGUAGUUCACUCAAUGAAAUAAUGAUUAUUCGAAAACAUUUCUAUAUCAUAAAUACUGCUGUCUAAUGCACUGUGGCAGAGCUAGAUGAACGUGCAAUAAUAAUAAUAUUAGAUUUUUUCCAUUUUGUGCAUUUUGCUCUACGAAAUCUCUUUGCACUCGAAAUAUUUAGUAUUCAGAAAUAUUCAGUAUUAAUUAAUGAGAAAACAUAUAAAUUAAAGAGAAAAGUUAUUUUAUUUCAAUAUUCCAUAUAUCAAUGCAUCAUACAAAGCUUGAUAUCAUAUAUAAGACUGUAUAAUUUGCAAAUCAAAUCGAGUGGUGACAGAGUCACCACUCCAGUGCAAAGGGUUAAUGACGCGCAAAUCAGUGUGAAUCACUUCUCGGAGUUUUAAGAAUUGUAUUAUUCAAAAUGAUGAGUAAGUUGGAUGCAAGCUGUGGGAUGAAAAUAAGCAUCGUUUAAAAAAAGUAUGGAUAUUUAAAAGAAGUCCUUUGGACGUCAACACUCGUGCUCUAGCCAAGACCAACCCCAUUUUAUUUUAUUUGUCUCAUGGGAUUCACUGAUUUCGAAUUUUUCUUUUAACACAAAUAUAGUUAUUUAAGCGAAUUUUUGUUUUCAGUCUGUUGCCAAUUUGUUUAUCAAGAUACGACUUUCCACUUAGGGGUGAGUGGUGAAAGUUUUUCUCGACGCGACGCUACGUCGAUUUAUCUAAUUAUGUUAACAGUUCAGACGGCGCUCUAUUUAUCAAUGGAACAAGUUCGCAGUUUCGAGAUAAAUUGGAGGUCACCGAACCGAUGCGACCGGCAGGAUAAACUGAUGACUGUCGUUGAAAAACGCCAACAAUAUUCACGCGUCUGCUUUCCUAAAAAAUUCCACUACGAACCCACAAAAACUUCAACAAUAAAAUUCAGCAAGACAGACGUGCACACAAAUAUCAGUUCGUCGAACCACGCUGCAUUUGUAUUUCUAACCACCGUCGAGGAAAAAACCCACCCCGACAGCAACAAUUCUAUCGAUCGAAGUGUAAAUGAAAAUGAAAAUGAAAAUGAGGGAUUGAAUGGUGAAUCGUUCCCGUGACACGAAAGAGGGAAAGUGCAGCAACAGAUGAGGCGGCCGUAGAGGAGCAGUGCGUCGAAAUGAACUUACCCAUAGGACGUUGAAGCAGAUCAGCGAGCACCUGAUACAACCAUAAUAUUUCGGGAGCACCAUUUUCGUUCUUGCGACACUGGACACUCGGGUUAGGUUGCUGGUUAGAGAGAAGACACGGGAGGCCAGCGAGCUCACGGGGACCGUUUACAUUCGUCCCGACGCCGAUGCACGACUGAGGGGGAAAGUUUUCAUUGGCGCUGCAGUUAUUCAAUCUCGUGGCCGUGCACGCACAGGAGGCGGACACGCCGAUCCAUUCCACUCGGUAUUUUCCGAACUACUGUCACGGUACGCGGCCGACCGCCGUCGCUUUUAAUCGCCGGUGCAAAGUACGACCAACGGAUUGCCACUGUCGUUUCAACCUUCCUGAAUCUGCAGCUCGUCGCAUCGUCCGAGCAUCCCCUAUCUCUGUCCAUCCGUCGGUACGCCCGUUUCCUUUACACCCACCUUCAAUCGCGUCUGUCUCUGUCUGUCUCUGUCUUUCUCUGUCUGUCGCUUACUGUCUUUGUUUAGUCUCUGUCUUGCUUGUUUCGCACGUUUUUCUUCAGUCAUCGUUGAGGAUGGGUUUAACACAUUGCUUGCGUUGAAUUUGAUGGCAAUUUUCACUGAGGUCAACUUAUGUCACUGUACAUAGAAAAACGCAGAUAUAUUGUUGUGUAAUAUGUUUUAGAUUGUAUAUUUUAAAUAUGUAAUAUGUUUUAAAUGGGUGAUCGAUUCGAGUUAAAUUUUAUAUUUUUUCAAUGCUGUGAUUAGCGAAGUUGCAUGGCUAAGUGUCUUUAUAGAAACGCGAUUUCUCGUUACCGGUACGCAGUGUGUUAAAUGGCACAGUACUUGGGAGAAUAGUUAAGUCUAAUGCGUGUAAUUGUUAGUCAGGAAGCUGGCAAGGUCGAGAUAACGCUCCUGCGUUGAGAUAUUCCAUGGAAUUUGUUAGAGUUGUAGUGUACAAGGUCUGUGGGAAAGUGAGGAUGUAGAAUUAAAUGGGUUUAGUGUGUAAUUGUGUUAAGUAUUGUAUGCUUAAUUGUAUUCUGUGGGAGUUGUAAUUGAUUUUGUAUUAGUUUAUGGAAUGGAUGAUUGGAAAUGUACGCUCUGUAGUGUAUCGAAGGUUUUGCAUUUAGAAUAAAGUUGUGCUUUGUAGUGGAAUUUAGCGAGAAUCAUUUUUUCAUGAUAUCUAUUCUUGAAACCAGUGGCGCCAUUCGCGAAGAUUGUAUGUAACAGAUGUACCACUGAGAUACCGACACUGUCAAAGUAACACUACUGUGCUAUCAGAAUGGAGUAUGUAUUGCAAAUGUAUAUUUGUUAUAAUAAAUGCUGGAAUGAUUAUUUAAUUACUAUGAUUUAAACUUUAGCCGGCAUAAGAAAUGAAAUUAUGAAAUUGAUAGAUUAUGUUGAAUGUUAUGAUUGUUUAUAAUAAAUUACU